Molecule: ribosomal RNA, 1559 nt
Filed under: Aneurinibacillus soli
Lineage: Bacteria; Bacillati; Bacillota; Bacilli; Caryophanales; Paenibacillaceae
Description: bacterial LSU rRNA
Rfam family: Bacterial large subunit ribosomal RNA
Source: RNAcentral
GGUUAAGCUACAAAGGGCGCACGGUGGAUGCCUUGGCGCUAGGAGCCGACGAAGGACGUGGCGAACGACGAAAUGCUUCGGGGAGCUGUAAGCGAGCUUUGAUCCGAAGAUGUCCGAAUGGGGAAACCCACUAUCCGUAAUGGGGUAGUACUCCUGUCUGAAUACAUAGGACAGGGAGAGGCAGACCAGGGGAACUGAAACAUCUAAGUACCCUGAGGAAUAGAAAACAAUAGUGAUUCCGUCAGUAGCGGCGAGCGAACGCGGAACAGCCCAAACCAGAAGGUUCGCCUUCUGGGGUUGUAGGGCGUCUCACAUAGGAGUUACAAAGGACAGUCAUAGAUGAAGCGGUCUGGAAAGGCCCGUCACAGAAGGUAACAACCCUGUAGUCGAAAUGACUGUCUCUCCGAGACGUACCCUGAGUAGGGCGGGACACGUGAAACCCCGUCUGAAUCCGGGAGGACCAUCUCCCAAGGCUAAAUACUACCUAGCGACCGAUAGUGAACCAGUACCGUGAGGGAAAGGUGAAAAGCACCCCGGGAGGGGAGUGAAAGAGAACCUGAAACCGUGUGCCUACAACUAGUCGGAGCACUAUUACUGUGUGACGGCGUGCCUUUUGUAGAAUGAACCGGCGAGUUACGAUUACGUGCGAGGUUAAGGCGGAUAGGCCGGAGCCGCAGCGAAAGCGAGUCUGAAUAGGGCGAAUGAGUACGUAGUCGUAGACCCGAAACCGUGUGAUCUACCCAUGUCCAGGGUGAAGGUGCGGUAACACGCACUGGAGGCCCGAACCCACGCACGUUGAAAAGUGCGGGGAUGAGGUGUGGGUAGCGGAGAAAUUCCAAUCGAACUCGGAGAUAGCUGGUUCUCCCCGAAAUAGCUUUAGGGCUAGCCUCGGAUGCCUGUACUGGAGGUAGAGCACUGAUUGGACGCGGGCCCCUCGCGGGGUACCAAAUUCAGUCAAACUCCGAAUGCCAGAUACAGUCGGUCCGGGAGUCAGACUGCGAGUGCUAAGAUCCGUAGUCAAAAGGGAAACAGCCCAGAUCACCAGCUAAGGUCCCUAAAUCUACGCUAAGUGGGAAACGAUGUGGAGUUGCCCAGACAACCAGGAUGUUGGCUUAGAAGCAGCCACCAUUUAAAGAGUGCGUAAUAGCUCACUGGUCGAGUGACUCUGCGCGGAAAAUGUAACGGGGCUAAGCGUAGUACCGAAGCUGUGGAUUGACACCGUUGGUGUCAGUGGUAGGGGAGCGUUCCUGCAGCAGUGAAGUCAGACCGGAAGGACUGGUGGAGCGGCAGGAAGUGAGAAUGCCGGUGUAAGUAGCGAAAAGAAAGGUGAGAAUCCUUUCCGCCGAAAGCCUAAGGGUUCCUGAGGAAGGCUCGUCCUCUCAGGGUUAGUCGGGACCUAAGCCGAGGCUGAAAAGCGUAGGCGAUGGACAACAGGUUGAAAUUCCUGUACUACCUCCACUCCGUUUGAGCAACGGGGGGACGCAGGAGGGUAGGGUGAGCAGACUGCUGGUUAUGUCUGUCCAAGCAGUGAGGCGUGUGUAUAGGCAAAUCCGUACACU